AACGAACGCUGGCGGCAGGCUUAACACAUGCAAGUCGAACGCGUGCAGCAAUGCACGAGUGGCGCACGGGUGAGUAACGAGUGGAUAUCUGCCUUUUGGUUCGGAAUAACCCCGGGAAACUGGGGCUAAUACCGGAUGGUUCCUACGGGAUAAAGAUUUAUCGCCAAAAGAUGAGUCCGCGUCCGAUUAGCUAGUUGGUGAGGUAAUGGCUCACCAAGGCGACGAUCGGUAGCUGGUCUGAGAGGACGAUCAGCCACACUGGGACUGAGACACGGCCCAGACUCCUACGGGAGGCAGCAGUGGGGAAUAUUGGACAAUGGGGGCAACCCUGAUCCAGCCAUGCCGCGUGAGUGAUGAAGGCAUUCGGGUUGUAAAGCUCUUUUGGCGGGGACGAUGAUGACGGUACCCGCAGAAUAAGCCCCGGCUAACUUCGUG
RNAcentral lists this ribosomal RNA (435 nucleotides) under uncultured bacterium. Its description in RNAcentral is "partial 16S ribosomal RNA". It matches the Rfam family "Bacterial small subunit ribosomal RNA", at positions 29 to 507 of the family's 1533-position model. The record is from RNAcentral.